This 344-nucleotide ribosomal RNA is filed under the name uncultured bacterium. RNAcentral describes it as "bacterial SSU rRNA". It matches the Rfam family "Bacterial small subunit ribosomal RNA", at positions 777 to 1112 of the family's 1533-position model. The record is from RNAcentral.
AAUAGAUACCCGGGUAGUCCACGCCGUAACGAUGAGUGCUAAGUGUUAGAGGGUUUCCGACCUUUAGGUGCUGCAGCUAACGCAUUAAGCACUCCGCCUGGGGAGUACGGUCGCAAGACUAGAAACUCGAAAGGAAUUGAACGGGGGGCCCGCAACAAGCGGGUGGAGCAUGUGGUUUAAUUCGAAGCAACGCGAAGAACCUUACCAGGUCUUGACAUCCUCUGACAACUCUAGAGAUAGAGCGUUCCCGUUCGGGGACAGAGUGACAGGUGGUGCAGUGGUUGUCGUCAGCUCGUGUCGUGAGAUGUUGGGUUAAGUCCGCAACGAGCGCCAACCUUGAUCUU